This 630-nucleotide ribosomal RNA is filed under the name uncultured Alteromonas sp. RNAcentral describes it as "bacterial SSU rRNA". It matches the Rfam family "Bacterial small subunit ribosomal RNA", at positions 60 to 697 of the family's 1533-position model. Lineage: Bacteria; Pseudomonadati; Pseudomonadota; Gammaproteobacteria; Alteromonadales; Alteromonadaceae. The record is from RNAcentral.
AGUCGAACGGUAACAUUUCUAGCUUGCUAGAAGAUGACGAGUGGCGGACGGGUGAGUAAUGCUUGGGAACUUGCCUUUGCGAGGGGGAUAACAGUUGGAAAGACUGCUAAUACCGCAUAAUGUCUUCGGACCAAACGGGGCUUCGGCUCCGGCGCAAAGAGAGGCCCAAGUGAGAUUAGCUAGUAGGUAAGGUAACGGCUUACCAAGGCGACGAUCUCUAGCUGUUCUGAGAGGAAGAUCAGCCACACUGGGACUGAGACACGGCCCAGACUCCUACGGGAGGCAGCAGUGGGGAAUAUUGCACAAUGGGGGAAACCCUGAUGCAGCCAUGCCGCGUGUGUGAAGAAGGCCUUCGGGUUGUAAAGCACUUUCAGUUGUGAGGAAAAGUUAGUAGUUAAUACCUGCUAGCCGUGACGUUACAACAGAAGAAGCACCGGCUAACUCCGUGCCAGCAGCCGCGGUAAUACGAGGUGCGAGCGUUAAUCGGAAUUACUGGGCGUAAAGCGCACGCAGCGGUUUGUUAAGCUAGAUGUGAAAGCCCCGGGCUCAACCUGGGGUGGUCAUUUGGAACUGGCAGACUAGAGUCUUGGAGAGGGGAGUGGAAUCGUGUAGCGUGAAAUGCGUAGAUAU